GACGAACGCUGGCGGCGUGCUUAACACAUGCAAGUCGAACGGAAAGGCCCUGCUUUUGUGGGGUGCUCGAGUGGCGAAGGGGUGAGUAACACGUGAGUAACCUGCCCUUGACUUUGGGAUAACUUCAGGAAACUGGGGCUAAUACCGGAUAGGAGCUCCUGCUGCAUGGUGGGGGUUGGAAAGUUUCGGCGGUUGGGGAUGGACUCGCGGCUUAUCAGCUUGUUGGUGGGGUAGUGGCUUACCAAGGCUUUGACGGGUAGCCGGCCUGAGAGGGUGACCGGCCACAAUGGGACUGAGGUACGGCCCAGACGCCUACGGGAGGCAGCAGGGGGGAAUAUUGCACAAUGGGCGGAAGCCUGAUGCAGCAACCCCGCGUGCGGGAUGACGGCCUUCGGGGUAUAAACCGCUUUCGCAGGUAACGAAGCGUGAGUGACGGUAAUGGGUAAAGAAGCACCGGCUAACUACGUG
RNAcentral lists this ribosomal RNA (468 nucleotides) under uncultured bacterium. Its description in RNAcentral is "partial 16S ribosomal RNA". It matches the Rfam family "Bacterial small subunit ribosomal RNA", at positions 28 to 507 of the family's 1533-position model. The record is from RNAcentral.